AACGAACGCUGGCGGCAUGCCUAACACAUGCAAGUCGAACGAGACCUUCGGGUCUAGUGGCGCACGGGUGCGUAACGCGUGGGAACCUGCCCUUAGGUUCGGAAUAACUCCCCGAAAGGGGUGCUAAUACCGGAUAAUGUCUUCGGACCAAAGAUUUAUCGCCUUUGGAUGGGCCCGCGUUGGAUUAGCUAGUUGGUAGGGUAAAAGCCUACCAAGGCGACGAUCCAUAGCUGGUCUGAGAGGAUGAUCAGCCACACUGGGACUGAGACACGGCCCAGACUCCUACGGGAAGCAGCAGUGGGGAAUAUUGGACAAGGGGCGAAAGCCUGAUACAGCAAUGCCGCGUGAGUGAUGAAGGCCUUAGGGUUGUAAAGCUCUUUUACCCGGGAUGAUAAUGACAGUACCGGGAGAAUAAGCUCCGGCUAACACCGUG
RNAcentral lists this ribosomal RNA (433 nucleotides) under uncultured bacterium. Its description in RNAcentral is "partial 16S ribosomal RNA". It matches the Rfam family "Bacterial small subunit ribosomal RNA", at positions 29 to 507 of the family's 1533-position model. The record is from RNAcentral.